GACGAACGCUGGCGGCGUGCUUAACACAUGCAAGUCGAACGGAAAGGCCCUGCUUUUGUGGGGUGCUCGAGUGGCGAGCGGGUGAGUAACACGUGAGUAACCUGCCCUUGACUUUGGGAUAACUUCAGGAAACUGGGGCUAAUACCGGAUAGGAGCUCCUGCUGCAUGGUGGGGGUUGGAAAGUUUCGGCGGUUGGGGAUGGACUCGCGGCUUAUCAGCUUGUUGGUGGGGUAGUGGCUUACCAAGGCUUUGACGGGUAGCCGGCCUGAGAGGGUGACCGGCCACAUUGGGACUGAGAUACGGCCCAGACUCCUACGGGAGGCAGCAGUGGGGGAUAUUGCACAAUGGGCGGAAGCCUGAUGCAGCAACGCCGCGUGCGGGAUGACGGCCUUCGGGUUGUAAACCGCUUUCGCCUGUGACGAAGCGUGAGUGACGGUAAUGGGUAAAGAAGCACCGGCUAACUACGUG
RNAcentral lists this ribosomal RNA (468 nucleotides) under uncultured bacterium. RNAcentral describes it as "partial 16S ribosomal RNA". It matches the Rfam family "Bacterial small subunit ribosomal RNA", at positions 28 to 507 of the family's 1533-position model. The record is from RNAcentral.